CUGAAAUUCUCUACUUCAUACCAGCCUCCUAAAUUUCCCACUGAUUUAAGACAACUCUUUUCUGGGUGGAGUCACUGGUUAAAGUCACUGCUUAUUCUCUUUUGAUGAAAAGCAGGGUCAAAAGGAAUGAGUUAUCUUGUUGGAGCACAGUCCCAUGCUGAUGUUUUCCAGUGGAGCAAUAUUUCUCACGCUGAGACUGAUAAGCGCCUUCAGAAGUUGGGCCUACACUUCUAAAUCAGCAGUUCAUGAAAGGCCAUAAAAAUUAUCAUCACUUCACCAAUUCACCCGCUCUCAUCCUGGAAGAAGAGAAUGCAGAAACAGAUUCAGUUAUGUGAAUGUAACAGUCACAAACAAAGGGAAACCUGUGGCAAGAGAUGGAUUGAGAUCACAUGGUCUCAUGCUCUGCCAGACGAAGACCUUUAUUGAGAAAAUAGCAUCAAGAAAAGAUCGUGAAGUGCUUCUGCUGGUAUUCCCAAGACCUGACACAGAAUCCUGAAAUAUCACAACUGAAAGGAAUUUGGAGAUCACAUUCAUUUGAAUGCUAUGAAUGCUAUGAAUAAAUACUCAUAUUGUAUGAGCAAU
Molecule: long non-coding RNA, 582 nt
Filed under: Chinchilla lanigera (long-tailed chinchilla)
Lineage: Eukaryota; Metazoa; Chordata; Mammalia; Rodentia; Chinchillidae
Description: lncRNA (ENSCLAG00000023432.1)
Source: RNAcentral